CCGAGUCUUAAUUGGGCGUUAAGUUGCAGGGUAUAGACCCGAAACCCGGUGAUCUAGCCAUGGGCAGGUUGAAGGUUGGGUAACACUAACUGGAGGACCGAACCGACUAAUGUUGAAAAAUUAGCGGAUGACCUGUGGCUGGGGGUGAAAGGCCAAUCAAACCGGGAGAUAGCUGGUUCUCCCCGAAAGCUAUUUAGGUAGCGCCUCGUGAAUUCAUCUCCGGGGGUAGAGCACUGUUUCGGCUAGGGGGCCAUCCCGGCUUACCAACCCGAUGCAAACUGCGAAUACCGGAGAAUGUUAUCACGGGAGACACACGGCGGGUGCUAACGUCCGUCGUGAAGAGGGAAACAACCCAGACCGCCAGCUAAGGUCCCAAAGUCAUGGUUAAGUGGGAAACGAUGUGGGAAGGCCCAGACAGCCAGGAUGUUGGCUUAGAAGCAGCCAUCAUUUAAAGAAAGCGUAAUAGCUCACUGGUCGAGUCGGCCUGCGCGGAAGAUGUAACGGGGCUAAACCAUGCACCGAAGCUGCGGCAGCGAACGUAUCACCCAAGACAACUUUGCGGAGUUGACGAUUGACGGAGCGAAGCGACGUCAAAGCGUUCAUUAAAGUCGAGUUGGCUUAGGGAUACGUUCG
RNAcentral lists this ribosomal RNA (633 nucleotides) under Salmonella enterica subsp. enterica serovar Indiana. RNAcentral describes it as "partial 23S ribosomal RNA". It matches the Rfam family "Bacterial large subunit ribosomal RNA", at positions 677 to 1242 of the family's 2925-position model. Lineage: Bacteria; Pseudomonadati; Pseudomonadota; Gammaproteobacteria; Enterobacterales; Enterobacteriaceae. The record is from RNAcentral.